AGGAUGAACGCUGGCGGCGUGCCUAAUACAUGCAAGUCGAGCGGUAAGGCCACUUCGGUGGUACACGAGCGGCGGACGGCUGAGUAACACGUAGGAACGUACCCCAAACUGAGGGAUAAGCACCAGAAAAUGGUGUCUAAUACCGCAUGUGCUCUUCGGAGUAAAGCUACGGCGGUUUGGGAACGGCCUGCGCAAGAUUAGCUUGUUGGUGAGGUAAUAGCUCACCAAGGCGACGAUCUUUAGCUGGUCUGAGAGGAUGACCAGCCAGACUGGAACUGAGAACGGUCCAGACUCCUACGGGAGGCAGCAGUAGGGAAUUUUCCACAAUGGACGAAAGUCUGAUGGAGCAACGCCGCGUGCAGGAUGAAGGCCCUCGGGUCGUAAACUGCUUUUAUAUGUGACGAUUAUGACGGUAGCAUAUAGAAUAAGGAUCGGCUAACUCCGUGCCAGCAGCCGC
This 457-nucleotide ribosomal RNA is filed under the name uncultured bacterium. RNAcentral describes it as "SSU rRNA". It matches the Rfam family "Bacterial small subunit ribosomal RNA", at positions 26 to 518 of the family's 1533-position model. The record is from RNAcentral.